This 303-nucleotide ribosomal RNA is filed under the name Triticum aestivum (bread wheat). RNAcentral's name for it is "partial small subunit ribosomal RNA". The record is from RNAcentral. Lineage: Eukaryota; Viridiplantae; Streptophyta; Magnoliopsida; Poales; Poaceae.
AUGAGCGGCGACGGCAACCUCGAGACCAGCAAGCGCCGCCGAAUUCGAGGGUGGAGCCCGAGCCUCCACUGGAGCAUGGAUCAGAUGUGCAGGAGGUGGAGCUCCACAUGGAUCACGACGUGGUCGUCGUGGGGGCCUGGAUCAUCAAGUCCGCAGGCGGCAUCGGGGGCGGUGCAAUGCCAGCUGCUGGACAUAGUUCACCCUGGGUUGGUGCUGAUGCACAAGGUGAAUUUCGAUGCCAAGGCGGAGUACGACAUGAUCCAGAACUACAAGAUUCUCCUGGAUGUGUUCAACAAGUUGUAG